Molecule: ribosomal RNA, 459 nt
Filed under: uncultured bacterium
Lineage: Bacteria
Description: partial 16S ribosomal RNA
Rfam family: Bacterial small subunit ribosomal RNA
Source: RNAcentral
CCUACGGGUGGCUGCAGUGAGGAAUAUUGGUCAAUGGCCGAGAGUCUGAACCAGCCAAGUCGCGUGAGGGAAGACGGCCCUACGGGUUGUAAACCUCUUUUGUCGGGGAGUAAAGUGAUUCACGUGUGACUCAUUGAGUGUACCCGAAGAAUAAGCAUCGGCUAACUCCGUGCCAGCAGCCGCGGUAAUACGGAGGAUGCGAGUGUUAUCCGGUUUUAUUGGGUUUAAGGGGUGCGCAGGCGGAGGUUAAAGUACGCGGUAAAAUUGCGGGGCUAAACGCCGAACUGCCGUUGAAACUGCAAGCCUUGAGUGCGGGAGAGGUAGGCGGAAUGCGUGGUGUAGCGGUGAAAUGCUUAGAUAUCACGCAGAACUCCGAUUGCGAAGGCAGCAUACCGGAGCGCAACUGACGCUGAGGCACGAAAGCGUGGGUAUCGAACAGGAUUAGAUACCCUAGUAGUC